GAAUAAUUAGCAUAUAAUAAUGCUUAUAUUUUGAAAAUAUAAAAAAAGAUAGUAAAUUCUUAUUAUUCU
Molecule: transfer RNA, 69 nt
Filed under: Megathrips lativentris
Lineage: Eukaryota; Metazoa; Arthropoda; Insecta; Thysanoptera; Phlaeothripidae
Description: tRNA-Ser
Source: RNAcentral